AAAGACUCAAUUCUUGGGUUUUCGUGUCCAACAUUUAACCGUUUAUUUUAUAUAAAUUUUUUUUAAUUACUAUUUUUAUUAUUGUUAGAUGAUAAAACAUGAAUAAUACUUUAUGCAUGACUUAUCUUUUAUUUUUUUUAAAAAAAAAUUAAAUAAGAUAGACGGUUAAACGUUAGACACAGAAACCUAGGAAUUGAGUUUUU
This 203-nucleotide microRNA precursor is filed under the name Oryza sativa Indica Group (long-grained rice). RNAcentral describes it as "MIR812 microRNA precursor family". It matches the Rfam family "MIR812 microRNA precursor family". Lineage: Eukaryota; Viridiplantae; Streptophyta; Magnoliopsida; Poales; Poaceae. The record is from Rfam by way of RNAcentral.